Molecule: long non-coding RNA, 545 nt
Organism: Myodes glareolus (Bank vole)
Lineage: Eukaryota; Metazoa; Chordata; Mammalia; Rodentia; Cricetidae
Source: RefSeq, a predicted model, not a curated record
CUCUCUCUCUCUCUCUCUCUCUCCCAGAACCCACGGCUGCUGCCUUGAAAUCCAGUCAGGCCUUUGUUGUUCUCCGCAGGAACAAUCAGCUUCACAUCUUCAUCAACAUUGUCGGUAGAUUUGGAAAAUAAAGGUAUCCAACUAAGGAAUUUGGAGACUACUGGACAAAUGAGACAUCUGAAGAAAAAUCAUCCAGAAAAAAAAAUGCCUCAAAAAAGGAAUAAAUUGGCCUAAUGAUAUAUCACAUUUCUAACAAGAGAAGAUGAUGGGCAUCAAAGAAACUACACAUGGAGUUUGCUUUCUUUGUGGCCAAAAUAAGCCACUGUGCAAGAAAAUACCCCUGCAUUGGCUGCCAACUGUAUGCUGUCCUAAUAAGACAAGCAGGAGAAAAAAAAAAGAGUGACUGCCAAACCAUACCCAGACAAGGCGAGACAGUCCUUCAAAAACUCUGCUUCAUAGAAAAGUCUGUCAUAUAUUCUAGGCUUGUGGGCCAAAGAUGGUUGCCCCAACAUUGCAGUGAAAUGUUCAGGUCGACAGCUGUUUCU